UGUAAGCGUAUACCAAAGUUGUUGCAGUUAAAACGCUCGUAGUCGGAAUUUGGCAGUUCCGGAUGUGUGCACGUCGUGUGCGCACUUCGCGGGGAUUGCUUUUGUGGUCUUGCGUAGGAUGAGGCACUUUUAUUAGUGAACGUCCUCACGCAACCACUUUUUACUGUGAGAAAAUCAGAGUGCUCAAAGCAGGCAUUUGCCGUGAAUGUAUUAGCAUGGAAUAAUAGAAUAGGACUUGGUUCUAUUUUGCUGGUUUGUUGGGACUGAGUAAUGAUUAAGAGGGACAGUUGGGGGCAUUUGUAUUUCGGUGCUAGAGGUGAAAUUCUUAGAUUACCGAAAGACAAACUGCUGCGAAAGCGUCUGCCAAGGAUGUUUUCAUUGA
RNAcentral lists this ribosomal RNA (382 nucleotides) under uncultured eukaryote. RNAcentral describes it as "partial 18S ribosomal RNA". It matches the Rfam family "Eukaryotic small subunit ribosomal RNA", at positions 592 to 976 of the family's 1831-position model. The record is from RNAcentral.